This is a non-coding RNA of Oryza meridionalis, 188 nucleotides long. Lineage: Eukaryota; Viridiplantae; Streptophyta; Magnoliopsida; Poales; Poaceae. The record is from Rfam.
AAAGACUCAAUUUCUAGGUUUUCGUGUCCAACGUUUGAUCGUCUAUCUUAUUUAAAAUUUUUUUAAAAAAAUAAGCCACACAUAAAAUAUUAUUCAUGUUUUAUUAUCUAACAAUAAUAAAAAUACUAAUCAUAAAAAAAAUUCAUAUAAGACAGACAGUCAAACAUUAUGUCAGGGUUACGGAUAAG